Molecule: ribosomal RNA, 122 nt
Organism: Pomacea canaliculata
Lineage: Eukaryota; Metazoa; Mollusca; Gastropoda; Architaenioglossa; Ampullariidae
Source: RefSeq, a predicted model, not a curated record
GCCUACGGCCAUACCACGUUGAACACACCGGUUCUCUCGUCCGAUCACCGAAGUUAAGCCAACGUCGGGCCUGGUUAGUACUUGGAUGGGUGACCGCCUGGGAACACUGGGUGCUGUAGGCA